Molecule: long non-coding RNA, 17214 nt
Organism: Peromyscus californicus insignis
Lineage: Eukaryota; Metazoa; Chordata; Mammalia; Rodentia; Cricetidae
Exons: 2
Source: RefSeq, a predicted model, not a curated record
AUAUAAAAACGUAAAGCAAUCUUUAAACAAUUCUUAAGUCUUUGCAGAGGGUAAUCAGUCAAUCCUCCACCAAUGUAUAUUUUGUUUUUCCUCAUUUUUAUUGAUUAAAUUUGUUCUUUGAAAGUUUUGCACAUGCAUAUAGUACAUUCUGUUUGCUGUGGUUGAUAUAUUGUACACCCCAAUAAAUUUAUCUGGGGUCAGAGAACAGAACCGCCACUAGACAGACAUAGAGGCCAGAAAAUGGUGGCAUACACACCUUUAAUCCUAGCCUUCUGGAGGCAGAGAUCCAUCCGGAUCUCUGUGAGUUUAAAGCCACACUGGAAACAGUCAGGCAUGGUGACUCUUGCCUUUAAUCCCACAAAGUGAGCCUUUAAUCCCAGAAAGUGAGGGCAGAAAGCAGAAAGGUAUAUGAGGCGUGAAAACCAGGAACUAGCUGGUUAAGCCUUUAGACUUUUAGCAGUAGUUCAGCUGGGAUUCAUUCUGGAUGAGGACUCAGAGACAUCCAGUCUGAGGAAACAGGAUCAGCUGAGGAACUGGCAAGGUGAGGUGGCUGUGGCUUGUUCUGCUUCUCUGAUCUUCCAGCAUUCAUCCCAAUACCUGGGUCCGGGUUUGUUUUUAUUGAUAAGAACUUUUAAGAUUCGUGCUAUAGUUCGCUCUCACUCAUACUUGGUUUUCACCACCCCCCCCUACUCCUGCCGUCCCUGCCCCUCCCCUACAGAUACUGUAUUUUCUAAUGCAAGGAAAUAGCGAGUCACCUAGCAAAGCAAAGGUAGUAGAGAAAAAGUAAUUCUCCUUCCCCAGUUAGUAUGCAGAGACUCAACACUGUAAUCAUGAAGAAGGAAGUGUGGGUGACUGAAUUCUAUGUUGUACACUUGCUUAUUCGUGUGACUCUACUAUCCCUAUAUACACAUAUGCCCACCCAGAAUUUUUCUCUGUUAAUGCAUUCCACGUUGCUCCUAUCACUAAGAGUUUUUUCUUAAGUUGAAACACUGUCCACCAAGGAAAACACAAACUCUUCUGAUCCAAAUAGAACCAUCAGAAAACUUUCUAUUGCUCAAAAGCAUGGUUCGCUCCUUAUAAAUGCCCUUCAGACAGAGACAUCAUGACAAUCAAUGAGCUUAUACCCAGACAUAAAGCCAAAAUUCCUUGAACAGUCAUGCCAUUCACAGUGCGUGAGAUGACACAUGGUCUGUGGGCUGUAGGGUGUGGGGUUUACACUACUCCUUGUGUCGCAGACAUUUCUGUACACUCUGUCCUACUGAAGUGUGCUCCUUGGAUAGGAUAGGAAAGCAGGGCCAAAUGCAAUAGUUUAUGCUUCAAGUCAUACAUUGAAAAGGAUUUCUUGUGUUUUCAUCCGGUAGAUCAGUCCCAUAUCAAAGCAACUUCUGGAACAAGGUACAUGAAUUUAAGUUUAUUUUGAGUGCCCAUUUGUUGGAAAGUACGUUGGGUACAACUGAAAUUCAAUCAAGACUCACUUUGUACUUCAAAAAUCUUGGGUGUAGAAGAAUAUAAUUGUAUACAGAUCUAAAACAGCUGUGCCAGUUUUUACUUAUCUCAGUGUGUUUUAUGAGGGGAGACUUUGUGACCUUGAAUACUGUCCUUUCCUAAAUAAGCAGUAAGUCCAGAUAGUGCCAGCUACUGAAAAUGGAAUCUUAUUGUUGCUCCUCUGCUCAGGUCUAAGCAUCUGAGCCGGCACCAUUGGAGCCGUACAUUUACUUCUCAGAUGCCUAAACAAGAAUGACAGGUCUAAUUUUAUUAUCCUUACCCUAGCAAAAUGCCCACUGUCAUCUGUAAGGACAAUAUGAUCAAGUCUCUUGGCUUAAGAAUGCAUUUCCUCAGCUGCAAUGUCCCUGAGGCUUCUAAAUAAAAUGGAAAUUCAAACUUUACUUUCAGAAAAAAAAAAUCACUAUGCUGCAUUUCUAAAAAUAAGCUUUGUUCUGAAAAAGCUUUCUGUAAUGCUAGAAGGAGACAUUCUAGCUGAUACCCAUAGACAGUGCCAAUAGUCUACCUUAAUUGAUACGCAGUCAACAGUUUGGUACUGAAGUCUAGUUAUGGGUACAAUAAAGGUAAGGGGUGGAUGAUCUGCAGCCCAUGAGGAGGAACAGAGCCACUGUUAUUGAAGGCCCAUGGAGUCACAGGGUAAUACUCAGAUGCCUUCCAGGCCCAGAUUAGCAAUGCACAUUUGUAAAGCAGCAAGGAUGUGCUUUAGGAAGUUUGGGGGCUCUACCAUAUUAAAUGCACAUAUCUGGAGUGAGCAUUGACUCAUCACUAGUCUGUGAUUCUGUUUCAACUCCAGAGAGGGAAAGGGGCUCACUGAUAGUAUUAUUUCCUUUUCCAAAGAACUGAGAGCUGAAAAGACUUGAUGACCCACUGAGCACUAACCCUGCAGUUCAGUAAGGAAGCCCGGAUAGGUCUUCCGUUGUAGUCUUUCUGGUGGACUCUCACUCUUCCUUUCUUCUGAAUAUCACACACACACACACACACACACACACCACACACACACACACACGUCACAUAAACACACCACAUACAUACACACACAUCAUACACACACCACACAUACACACACCUCACAUCACACACAUACAUCACACACACACACACACACACACACACACACACACACACCACAUACACACACCACAUACAUACACACACAUCAUACACACACCACACAUACACACACCUCACAUCACACACAUACACACAUCAUACACACACACACACACACACACACACACACACACACCACAUACACAAGCCCUAAAUCACACAUAUACACACAUCACAUAUCAUACACGCACAUCACACGUAUACACACCCCACAUCACAUAAAUACACAGCACACCAAACACAAACACACACUACACACUCUCAAACAGGCACAUACCAUACUAUACAUAUACACACAUCACAUAAUACAUGCAAUCUCACUGCACACAUAAACACAUACCCCACAAUACACACUGCAUACACAUCACAUGACUAUAUACACUACACACACACACCACCACCACCACCACUACCACCACCAAAACACAGGAACACACAUUCCUUUGGGAAGAGAAGAGAAUUCCUACAUAACCUUGAGAGGUUGCUUCUCCUAGCUGAACCUGGUUUUUGUUUGUUUGUUUAUUUGUUUUUAUUAGUAAAACAGGAAUAAUGAUGAUAGCCUACAUUACCACCCUAGCAGGAUACAUGCAAAGAUAUCACUGUUACAUGAGAAAAACCUUGUGGAAAGUAUGAUUAUUCUAUGUAAAAAUUACUUAUAAAACAAUUGUGAAAGUACAAAGAUGAUUUCUCAAAAUCAACUAAAUUUUAAUUUUAAUUGACCUCCUUUUCAACCAGUUACUUGCUUUUGGCAAUACACCAUGAAGUUGUAUUUUCACAGAGCAUAUAAAAGGCUGGCAGGAUGGCUUGGUUACUGAAGGAGCUGGCUGCCAAGACUGAGGACUGAAUUCAGUCCCUGGGACCCACAUGGUGGAAGGAGGAAAUUGAGAGUAUCAAGCUUUUUUCUGACCUACACACACACACCACAGCACAGGCACACACACACACACACACACACACACACACACACACACACACACACACACAUUCUCUACACAUAUGUACACACCUACAAAAGACAAAUAAAUAAAUGUAAUUGAAAGUUGAAUCAUCGUAUCUAAGAAGUCACGUGUAAAAGGCAAAACUUUUUUUUAGUCUAAGAACUCUCCCAGUGUGUGGUGGACAGUUAAGGAAACAAGGAGCUGUUUCUCCUAUGCUCUCUGCCUUGAGGCCACCCAAGGGUGAGAUGUGCCGAAGUCAUCUAUCAGGAAAAAAAAGAGAACCAUGUUCCUCUUUGCCUAGGGAAAUCUUGUUAAAAUAUUCUGGCAAAACGCUUUUGUUUUCGGAGACAGGUGUGUUGCUGUGUAGCCUUGGAUAGCCUCUACCUGUCUGUGUCAACCAGGCUGCCUCAAGCUUGCAGCAAUCCUCCUGCCUCUGUCUCCCAAGUGCUGGGAUUACAGGAAUGCGUCAGUACUCUAGGCUAUUGGCCUGCCAAAAGGCACACACAUACACACACACACACACACACACACACACACACACACACACACACACGCACGCACACACGCACGCACACACACACCUAAAUUGGAGGAAUUCAAUUUUAACUUACCAGAAACCACAAUUUUUCAAAGCUGAUAUUUCACAAAUCAUAAAGUCCUAAUUGAAGAAUAUUUCAGGGACAAAGAAAAUAUCGUAGUGGAGGGAUGUACACAAUUUUCUACUUUAAGUCCAUCAAGAAAAUAUGAUUUUUGUAUCAUUGACAGAAUGUUUCCAUCAUGUCACCAAAAGAUUGGCUAUUGUGGAGGGAAUAGAACCACUCUGUCCUAAUUGAGACAUUUGAAAAUAAUAUCACUUUCACCUCCUGGAACUCUGAUAGCCUAGCUCCUUGGGUGGAAAUCAUUUCUCCUUGCAUUAGGGCCAAGAGAAGAAAGUUCUCUGAAAUGUCUUAUAUUCUGUAUUGCUGCAACCACAACACAUACAUAGAUCAGGGUUGACUAGCUGAGGUCUUGGGAAUGCCUCACAACAAUGCCACACACACAGCCUGAAAAGUGACUUGAAAACUGAGGCUCGCUUUGUGGCAGCUGUGCCAUUUAAUGCCAGCCAGGGGCCAAACAUGUUUGCAAUGAUAGCUUUAUUUAUGUGCUUAAUAAAUAUUUAUUAAGCAUCACGAUGUAUAAAAUCUAGGGAUGCUUUGCAAAAUCCCUCUACCAGUAAAACAAGUACAAGGACAUUAGCAGAUAAUUAGGCUAACAGAUGGUGACAGGUGCUAUGCAGGAGACAUAAUGAAAUAACUGAGGCACUGCUUUAACAUGGGGACCAGUGUAGCCAGAAAAGGCCUCUUUUUUUUUCUACCUUUUUUCCCUCCAUCCAAACCCUCAUAUACCUCUUCCCAUUCUCCUUCAAAUUCAUGGCCUCUUUUUCCACUGUUUGUGUGUGUGUGUGUGUGUGUGUGUGUGUGUGUGUGUGUGCACAUAUAUAUUCCUAAAUUUAACCUGUUUGAUCUUUUUAAUAUUAGUUGUAUGUGUGUUUUCAGGGCUGACCAUUUGCUAUUGGAUAACUCAUUGGUGUGCUCUUCCCUGGUGAGGACCACCUCUCCUGAUCCCAGCUUUCAGUUGCCUGUAAUUCUUUGUGUGCAGUUGAGGCCUUGUGGGAUUUUUCCCUUCCACUUUGGCAUGCCCAUUAUUGUUGUCUUUUUUAAGCUCACGUUGGCCAGUCGUUGGUGAGAUUUUUACGGGUGUAGCUUCUGCUGUUUCUAGGAGACACAGAGUCACAGCAAACCCCCUGAUCCUCUGCCUCCUACAGCCUUUCUGUCUCCUCUUCUGCAAUGUUCUCUGAGCCUUAGAUGUGGAAGUGUUUUGAGAGAUACAUCUAAUGAGACUGGGCUCCACAACUCUAUGUUUUGAUUGGUUGUGGUUUUUCUGUAGUUGUCUACAUCUACUGUAAAUAGAAAUUUCCUUGACGAGGGGCGAAGACUACACUUAUAUGUGGGUAUAAGUACAAAUGUUUAUAGAUUUUUGUUGGAGAUUAUGCUGGUUUAGUGAGUCAGUGGUUGUAGAUUCUCCAGUGAACUUCACUAGCACUGAGUAUUUAGCUAGGGAUCUAGCACCAGGCAUGUUUUCCCACUUGUUGAGCAUAUCUCAAGCCCAAAUAGAGAGAUGAUGGUUGCUAUGAUGGUUACUACCAAGGUAUCUAUUCCACUACUGCACCCUUUGGAUUAGCUGCCACACUCAUUGUUGAUACAGUUCACGGGUAUCAUAGCUGGCUAAGACUUUUGGUUUCUUCCCACCUUUGGAAGCUUGCAUGGCUCCUUCUGAUACUAUAAAAGCUACUCCUCUGGAAGGGGGGCAUUCAGGUCAGUUACAGCUCUGGGGUCUCUGAGUUUUGUUUCUGAAGUUCAUGGUAUCUUCAGCAGUAGGGACGUAUUUUCGACCUCUGGCAGGUCACAAAGGCCAACAGCAAUAGGCUGUAUGCCUUGGGAGUCUUUGGGGGCAGUCCUGAACAGCAACUUAAAAGAGGGCUUCUCAUGCCUGGUAUUAAGGGUUUUGCUAAGUAGUUUUUGGCUCUUGGAGGGAGCACCAUCAGCCCAGGGAGAAAAGUUCAUUCAAACUAUGUAUGUAUAUUGAUACAUGGAAUUAUGUGUAUUAUAGGGAUUUUUUAAAGUAAACAGUCAAUAGUAUGAUUCCUUUUGGCUUUUACAGACAUCCCUAUUGUUAUUUUACAUAAUUAUCUCCUUAUUCUGUAUUUGCCUACCUCCCCCUACCUACAGAGCUCCCCUUUCCUAUUUCUCCAAUCAGAUCACUUUUAUCUGCUAUUCCCCUUUAUCCUCAUUCCAUCUCCAUCUGUAUUUACCUCCUUCCCCUUACCAAAGCAACCCCUUUCCCACUUCCCUGAUCAGGUCGCUGCAAGUCCCUUCUCUGUUGCUUCCCAAACUCCCGAUCCUGGCAGUGGUCCUGCAGCAUAUUAUUUUCUGGGUCUGGGUUAUCUCACUCAACACGAUCUAUUCUAGUUCUAUCCAUUGACUUCUAAAGUUCAUGAUUUUGUCUUCCUUUACAUCUGAAUAGCACUCCGUGGUGCGAACUUACAUGUUCAUUAAACAUUCAUCAGUUGAAGAGCAUUAAGAUUGUAUCCAUUUCCUAGCUAUUGUGAGGAGAGCAACAGUGAACGUGACUGAGCACGUACCUGCAGAGUAGGAUGUCCAGUCCUUUGGUCAUAUGGCAAGGAGGAGUAUAGUUGGGUCCUAUUACUAUUUCUAUUUUUAGCUUUUUGAGAAUUCUCCACGUUGAUUUCCAUUGUUGGCUGCAAUAGUUCCUAAUCCCACCAGUGGUGAAUGAGGGCUCUCCCUAUCCUCUCCAGCAUUUCUUGCUGGCUGUUCCAUUGAUAUUUGCCAUUCUCACUGGGGUAAGAUAAAAUCUCAAAGCUGUUUUGUUUUUCAUUUCCCUAACUACUAGGGAUGAUGAACAUUUUUUUUUUAGAUAGGUUUUAACCAUUUGUUUUUUUUCUUUUGAGAACUACCCAUUCAGGUUUGAGGUCAAUUUAUUUGAAUGGGUCAUUUAUUUCUUUGACUCUUUGUUUUAUGAGUUCUUUGUAUAUUCUGGAUAUUAAAUCUCUAUGGGAUGUAUAGCUGGCAAAGAUUCUCUCAGAUUCCGUGGGAUUCCUCUCCACAUAGCUGAUUAUUAUUUAUUAUUAUUUCUAUGUGGAAACUUUUUAAUUUUAUGAAGUCUCACUUGUCAAUUAUUGGCCUUCAUUUUGGAACAAGUAGAGUCCUAUUCAGGAAGUAUUUUCCUGCACUUCUGUUAUUUGGGGUUUGCCUAUGUUUUCUUCUAGCAGUUUCAGUUUUCAGGUUUAGGUCUCUGAUCCAUUUGGAGGUGGGUUUUGUGCAGUGUAAUAGAUGUGGGUUUAAUUUCAUUCAUUUGCAUCUGGAUUUCCAGUUUUCCCAGUGUCGUUUGUUGAAGAUUUCUUUUUUCUCCCAUGCAUGUGUUUGGCAUCUCUGUCAAAUAUUAAGUGGAUAAAGAAGUUAUGCAUACUCAUGUUUGGGUCUUUGAUUUUGUUCCUUUAGACUGUACGUCUGUUUUUGUGCCAAAACCAUAUUUUUUUAAGUAUGGAUCUGUGAUAUAACUUAAGAUCUGGAAUUGUAAUCCCUUUAGUACUGUUCUUUUCACUCAAAGUUGUUUUGGCUAUCCACAGUCUUUUGUGGUUCCAUAUACAUUUUAGUAUUUCUUUUCCUGUCUCUAUGAAGAAUGGGAUGAGAAUUUUGGUUGGGAUUGUAUUGAACCUGUAAGUGGUUUUUGGUAGAACUGUCAUUUUCAAAUGUUAAUUCUACCAAUUCAUGAGCAUGGGAUGUCUUUCCAUUUUCUAUUGUCUUCUUCUAUCUUUCUUCAGAGAUUUAAAAUUUCAAUUGUAGAGGUCCUCUACUUCCUUGUUUGAGUUCACUCCUAGACAUUUUAUUUUCUUUGAGACUAUUGUGUCCAUGGUCUCCUAGAGAAGACCCUUCUGGUAAGACAAGAUUGAAUUGGAAGAAAUGAUGGAGCUCUCAGAAGCAUGUUAUGAACAAAAGGAAUAAUAACUCAUACAGCAUUAAAUAUCAGGAGAUAGAAGUGGUCUUUCAAUGACUGAAGAAAACAGAAGGCCACUGUAAAGGAGGAAAUGGUGGCAGACUUUGUUGCAUUCGGUUAGGUAUUGUAGUUCUUUGAAUGUGGUGGUAUUGUGUUCCCAAAAUAUUGUGCACCCUAAUAAACUUAUCUGGAGUCAAAGAACAGAACAGCCACUAGAUACUGAGGCUAGAAAAUGGUGGCACUCACACCUUUAAUCUUAGCAUUCCAGAGGCCGAAAUCCCUCUGGAUCUCUGUGAGUUCAAGGCCACAGUGGAAACAGCCAGGCAUGGUGACACACACCUUUAAUCCCAAGAAGUGAGCCUUUAAUUCCAGGGAGUGAUGGCAGAAAGCAGAAAGGUAUAUAAGGCGUGAAGACCAGAAACUAGAAGCAUUUGGCUGGUUAAGCAUUUAGGCUUUGAGCAGCACAGUUCAGCUGUGAUUCAUUCUGGAUGAGGACUGAGAGGCUUCCAGUCUGAGGAAACAGGAUCAGCUGAGGAAUUGGUGAGGUGAAGUGGCCGUGGCUUGUUCUGCUUCUCUGUUCUUCCAGCAUUCACCCAAAUACCACGGGUGUGAUUUCAUUAAGAUCCUUUAAGACUCCUACUACAUUUGAAGGUUAAAAUGGUGGCUAUAUCUUAAUACAAGAUGAAUAAAAGCCACUACUGCAUUCUCUUUAGUUGUUCCUUUUUAUUUAGUUGUGUGAGUGUGGUGUGUGUGUGUGUGUGUGUGUGUGUGUGUGUGUGUGUGUGUGUGUGUGUGCUUGUAGGUGCACAUACAUGGAGGCCAGAGCAGAACAUCAGGUGUCCUCCUCUAUCACCAUUCAUCUUAUUUCUUUGAGCCAGAGCCUCAAUCAAAACCCAGCACUUGCAUUUUUGGCUCGGCUGACAGCCAGAAAGCCCCAGCAAUCAUCUGUCUCUGUCCCCCACAGCACUAGGUUAUGGACGUUCAUGAGACCACACUUUUAUUCCGCUGGAAUCCAAGCUCAGGCCCUUAUGCACCAAAUACUCUUCACUACUGACUCAUCUGCUCCCCCCAAAUACUACAGCAUUUGAAAAGGAGCCCUGUGCUGUAGCUCAUACUUGGAAAUUAACACUUGGGAAGUCAUGUGUGAAAUAAACCAUAGGGGUCUGUGUAGUGAUAUUUUAUUUGUGCUGAAAUGUGAUAUUUUAUUUGUAUGUUAACAAAUAAAGUUUGCCUGGAGAUCAGAGGUCACAUAGCCAGCCAUAAACAGAAGUCAGGUGGUGGUAGCACAUGCCCUUAAUCUGAUCACAUGUCAGGCAGAGUCUCUGUGUGGUCAAGAACACAGCCAAGCAUGGUGACACACGCCUUAAAUCCCAGUACCAACCAUAGAGACCUGGAGGUCUGUACAGACAGGCAGUGACGAGGAAGUGAUGUGGCUGGGCUUAGAGCCAAUGAGAAGGCAGAACAGCAAGGUAAUAAAAACACAGGUUAGACAGGAAGAAGCUCUCUCUGUGGAAACUAUGGUGUGGUGGUAAGCUAAGGCUAAUCAUGGCUAUUCGCUAUUUCUCUGAUCUCUUCGGCUAUUACCCCUGUAUUUGGCUCUGUAUUUCUUAUUUAAUAAGACUGUUUAGAAAUUCAUCUACAGGCCUAGGAAUGUGAGUAUACAGGUGAGGUAAUAGGUUCUGUCAGCAAUCUGUUAGAUGAUAGUGGUGGUCUGAACUAGGCUGGAAAGGAGCAAAGGCAACAAGAAGGCAGAGCUGUAAAGCUUUGCUGAUGAUUAGAUCUGCAGAGGGCUGGACACUGGGUUUUGAGGUGGAGGGUUCAUUCAGGAUCUUGAUGAAAGCACUUUGAGAGAAGAUGUAGGGAAGUGGUCCAGUGGAGUAGAAUCUAUGGGAAAUUAGUCCUACUACAGAAAAAAAAACAAAAACGACAAAUAGCCAAAACAAGACUCAAGAGUAUCAUCAUAUUUGAAGUAAUCAAAGGAGCAAAGAAUAGAAACAGAUAGCAUGUAGGAGACAGCAGAUUUUAAGGCAUUGGAAUUGGGCAAUAAAUACGAUUUCCAAAAAAAUGUAAACAAGCAGAUGAGCACUAGAGUGUUUCGUUUGACUGUCUUGAGACACACAGCACCACAAAGAUGCUAAAACCAAGCAGAGUCUUCCAGGAAGGUAGUCUUCCUAUGCUGGUUUGCCUAGAACUUGUCCAGGUUCAAAAGCAAAGGUCCUGAACCCCACAUCCCACAUCCACCCAUAUCUUGGGAUAUGGAGAUAAAUGGUCUUUGUAUCUGAAGCACUUGGAAUGGAGCUGAGAUUUCAUAACACUCAGUUACCAUCCACAGCAAAGACUGAAGAGAAGAUGCACAAAGAACUUCAGAAACCUGACAAAGGUACUGUGGUCUUUGCAGCUGAGUGUGGAUUGGAGUCUGCAUGUGCAGCUGUGGGAGGCUGGGAGAGAAUGUUUCCAAAGAGUCAGGCAGGGGCGCACUGCACUUCUGUGUGUGAAUGUCUGGAAGUGCCUUGCUUCAGUCAUGAGGAAUCUCUGAGUCUACACAUCCUAAAAGGACGGUCUGGAAUGAUUAGUGAAUGUCAACUGCACCCCAGAACAAAACUCAAGAUUUAGGACAACAGAAAUUUAUAGUGCCUGAUGAGGUGAAAUUCACAGUAGAUGCCAUCCAAUCAAACUGUACCAGACAUGAGAAAAAUAGCAUGUAAGUGUAACCUAUUAGGAGAAAAUGGCAAAAUACAUUUAGGAUUGAUAUAAGUGCUGGAUUAGCAAACAAGAAUGUUAACCAGAUAUGAUAACUGUACUCUAUGUGUUCAAAUAAAUUAUUAACAAGCAUGAAAGAUAUAUAAAGGUGCAACUUAACCACAUUUGAAAAUAAUAAUAGAUAAGAAGAAACAAAAGACAUUAAAAGAAGGUAAGAGUUCACAGAAGGAAAGAUUAGUGACAGUGAAGAAAGACCAAAUAAGCUACCUGAUAGCAAAUACAGAAAGAAAACAAGAAUCUUAAAAAGAAUUGCCCUAGUCCCUGAGAGGGCUCAGCAGGUAAGCAACCUUGUCGUCAAGCCUGAUGACCUGAGCUCAGUCCCCUGAGUGCACACAGUGAAAAUAAAGAACCAACUCCUAUAUAUUGUCCACGGAUAUAAACACACACACGAGGGUAUAUAUCACUCAUAAGCUAAUAAAUAAAUAAUAAAUGUUUUAAAAGUUUAAAAUACAUUAUCCUAUCUAUCAGAGAGCUGAGUAUUCAGUUUGAGAGACAGGACAGGCAAGUUCAAAUGGAGAAAAAGGAGUCAAAUAUUUGCAUAGCGGGUGCAUAUGCCUGGGAUCAGGUCCUAGAUUAGAGGUUGAAAUGAAUGGGAGCCCUAAAUAAACUCGAGUGGUUCAUUUUUAGGAACUGCAAAGAGCAACUUUCUAUUUUACUUUUGCACUUCAUUAUUUAUUUAGACAUCUGAGCCCUCCCACCAGGCUUUUAUAGGCUAGAGAACCCUGACAAUUGAUCUCCUCUACAGAGCUGUGAUUAUGCAGAAUAAGUGCAGUGUUGAACUAACAUCAGUGUGCAUCGCAUUUUGUUAAUUUCUGAAAUAAAACAAAUAGCAUUACAUACCUCCAAAGGCAUAUAAAAUAUUAAAUGUUUAUUAUUAGCAGAAACUUGCAUUUUUACAAGAGAGAGAGAGGGAAAGUAUCAUUUGAAAAAAAUAUGCAAUUGAUAAAGAGCAUCCAUAGAAAAAUGACACUAUUUUCAAAAUUAAUUAAGAAUUAUUUUAGGCAUAAGCUAUCUCCAAAUUAAAAAAAUAGUUGUGGAAUUAAAGGUUAUAUUCCAUGUCUUUUGUACAAAAUAAAGGCAAGACUUUAUUUAAAAUAUUUACUGACCCUUCUCAUUCUUUUUUUAGUUAAGUCUUACAAAAUUAUAUCCCAAAGUGCUUAUUUUAAAUAAGUUAUGUGGAUUUUUUGCUAUUAAAUUAUGAAAGUUUAUUUCAUAUUUUAAAAUGAGCCCUUCAUUAGAAACUUGGUUUGGAAAAAAAGUAUAAUGGUGCAUAUUUAUGAAGAUACUGCAUAAAAUUCAUUACUUUUUAUUCUAACUUAAAAUGUUUAUUUUAAAAUUUAAAACAAAAAAGAAAACACUUUUCCCAUUUCAUAAGUUACCUUUUCAUUCAUUUGCUUGUUUUCUUUUAAUGCAGUUUUACAAAUCUAUCAAUCCCCACCCCUGUGUAAUCACUCAUAUAUACUUUUAUUUUUAUUCCCUGUGUCACAUCCAAGAAAUCAUUGUCAAGUCCAAUCUCAAGAUGAUAAGACCUGACCUAAAACUAUGAAGCUUCUAGAAGGGAGCAUAGAGAAUAUACCCAUUCAGUACUGAGGAAUCCUUUGCCACAGGCACUGAAGCCCUACUGAGCUUGGCAACAUGACAGCCACGAAACAACCAAGUUCUUCAUGAACCACGGUUUCCAUCCGAGUUAACCAACAGCAUCUAUCUCAUCGAAUAGGAGUGCACCAGGAUCCAAGAGGCUACAGUGCCAUGCUUGAUUUCUCCACAAGGACAGUACCACAGUUUCUUCAUGCGUUUUUCCUCAUAUGGUAACCCCAAGCUUCUUGCAUUCCCCUAUAAAUUACACUGAGGUCACACUGGGUAAGUUGUACACAACAUGACAUGUAAUGUUCUUGUGUGUGCCUUCUCUGGAGUUUGAGUUAUGUUUUGAGCCAUGUUAGUGUAAUAGAGUUAUAAAAAGAUUUUAAAAACUGAAUACAGGAUGUAAGUAAACAAGUGAACUAUAAAACUCCACAAAUUAAUUAACAUCCAGUGUUAGUUAAUGACUUAAACCUCACACAGAAGCAGCCCUUCUUCAAUCCAGUCACUCUAGCACAAGAGAGAGAAAAAUACUGAAGUCUCUCCUCUAGGUUGGAGCUCUUGUGAAAUGUUCUGCAAAUUUCAACUUAACACUGUCUGGAUUGGCUGCUCAUGUGUGGGGUUCUCAUGGACCAGUUACAUAUUUCAGUGGUUCUUUGUAGUCAAUGACUGAUGAAUGUGAUGUCUGACAGAUAUCUCCACCACCCUUCACAAACUCUGGAAAUGUGGCCAAAAACAGCACAGAAAGAAAUAUUCAAUUACUACGGUCCCUAUACCCUAACAACAUAGACCCCCAGACUCCCAGUGAGCAGUACUGAGGAGGAAAUGGCUCUAUACUGACCCAUGGCAUGAGAGUCAACAUGCAUGUUGGAGUUCAAAGCUAUGUUUUCAGGAGAAGAGAUUUGGCAAGAUGUGGAUUGUCUGCGUGCUUUGCAGAGAGAAAUAUAAGAAUACACGUAGUGUCCUUCUCUAUUAUAGGUCUUUCAGAUUUACUAUAAUAUCUUCAUCUAUAAGGAAAUGACUAGAAUAUCCUGGCUGAAAGAUCAUUAAUAAUCUGUUAUCAUGGUCUGGUUUCUGCCUACAUCCUCAUCAUUGUCUGUUACAUAUUCUAUCCUCAUUUGCUUUACGCUGUUGCAAUUCUGGUUCCUUGGUAUGAUUCCCAGGUGUAUAAUUUCCCACUUCUGCCCCUUUACUAUAAGGGGCUAGUAAGAUUUACAACCUAUGUUCUCACUCUGAUCCCAACUUUCUCCAACAUGCACAGCUUCCUUCUUGCUAAUGGGCAUAUGGUUAUGAUUCACGGCUUGUUUUCAAGGCCGUCCUAAAUGUAACAGACCCUCAGGCCAUCAGUAGAAAUAAAGAGGUCAGCAUUUGCCUUUACCUUUGCAGCCAUCUGCCACUUAACAGACUCCCAGAAGAGGAUGUCAGCAUCCUUGUGUCAUUGUGUGGCCUUUCCAUUCAUGGAUUAUCGAGCUCCUGCUGCCGACUUCUGUUCCAGAGACUGCCAUUCAGCAAUGUUGAGAGCUCUAGUCGAUGGAAACUUUAUUUUUAGAAACACUGCGUUUUUCUCCAUUCUAAAAAUAGUCCCCUACAGUUACCGUCCUAAGCUUCGUGGUUAAAUUCACACAGGUGUGUAUCUUUCCUUUACAGGCUCUGACUGAGACAAUUCACCAGAGCUGUACAAUCCAUGCCAGUGAUGGAAGACGAAUGGCAUUCCUGGUCUGACAUUUUGUUCUCUGUGAUAUAAAUUUCCAUGUAUACCCAAGGCCUAACAGGACAAUAUUUUUUAAAAAUAAAUAAAAAUGAAAAGUAGGGACUUAAAACGACUCAUCCAGCAGGAAAACAGGUUCCUGUACUUGCUUCCAGUCUCAGUGAUAGCACAAGUGAAUUUUCAUAUUAAAGUACAGGCGAUAGAAGGAACUAGGGAGUCAGUUGGCUCUAUAGCAUGAGGAUCAGAGUUCAGUCCCCACAACCCACAUAAAUGCCUUAUGGGUGUGAUGUCUCUGUAGUUCAGUGACAGGGGAUCCCCAGGCAAGCUAGCUGGCCAGGCUAGGCGGAGUCAUGAACUCUGAGCUCACAUGAGGGACCUGACUCAAUGAAUAAAGUGGAGAUUGAUUGUAAGGUCCUAUCAAACUCCAGCAUCCACAUGCACACACAUGCUCCUAUAGUCACACAUAUACCCCAACAUGCCUGUAUGCAUUCAAGUAUGCAUGCACACCACAUACAUGUGCAGAAAACCAAAGUACAAGAGAUGGUUCUGUCGUUUUUUUCACUGUGGUUUUUCCACAGGCGUUCCAUCCAUUCCUGCAGUUUAACUAAAGAAAAGAAAGAAAGGUGUGAUUUUCUCUGUAUGCUGGGGGAGUAGAAGGUGUGAAGGUUUAAGUGAUCCCUCUUCUUUGGCAAACUCAUUAGUUUUCUUCUAUAAUCUUCAUUAUCUUCAUUAAAAUAACAUUUAGCUUCACUGUCCAGAUUGGAGAGAUACUGGGCUAGACUGGCUGGGCAUCCUUUGCCUAUAGUGGUGGCAGGAAGGGAUCAGCAAGUAGUGACCAAUUUACCUUUUUUAUAUUUUCUUUUUCAAUUUGAGAGAUAAUUUACUUGUUAAUAAUAAAAAGGCAGAGAGAGACAGAGACAGAGAGAUACACGCAGAGCGAAAAAAGCUGAACCGAUGAGAAUUUAUUUUUUAAAUGCUUGAAGCUGGCAACAGAUCAUUUUGUGGGCUUGGACAUGGGUGGGGAUAGUCUAUCAAGCAAGACCCCAACCCAGUUUUUCACCUUUGUUUCUUUCCUUUGGGUAUGGAUCAGCCAAAGCUGUAUGGUGCUGAACCCUAUUCACAGUCAGGAAGAUCUCAGUUCCAAUCAAAGUCAGGGUUAAGAACACAAUUACAUCUACUGAGGAAAUAGGGACCAGCAGCUGAUAUGCAUCUCAAAGUCAAUUUCCCUCUCUCUCUCUCUCUCUCUCUCUCUCUCUCUCUCUCUCUCUCUCUCACACACACACACACACACACACACACACACACACACACACACACACACACACACUUACACUAAUGAUUUACGUCAGUAACAUAUGGAGGUCACUCCUCUGUAAGCUUUAAAAUAUGUUUACUUGGAUACAGGGCUUUCUAAGAACCAUACGGGGAAAACCUUGAUUGGUCUCCCGGCUCCAGCACCAAAAACUGCUUCUGGAAAUCCCCAUGGGACUUUGGAGUGAAGACCUAUUCCUGACCACCUUCUGCCCUCCCCACCAGCCACAUUCCUUUCCCUGAACAUCUGCAAUUCAGGUGCUUUGUUUCGGAAUUCACUCUUUAGAAGAAUAGUUUAGAAACCACACUGCAAGAAAUCACAGGACCAAGCAGUAACUGGGAAACAAGAGACAAUGCAUACAACAUUUCAGAGAAGUCAUUUUACAGUUAAGGUGAGUUUCUUUGUGUGCCAUCUCCUGGCAUGGAAUAUGCACCCUGCAAAGGAGGAUACUCCAGACUGGCAGACAUGCAGCUUUAGGAGGUCAGUAUGAACUGCUGUGAGUGUAAUCAGCACAUUUGCCAUCUCUAUCAUGCUAUUAUGGGGCAUGAUAUUUACAUUCAGUCAAAUAAGGAAAGUCCUGGUCAGAGCAAUGCCUCUUGAGGUACCAAGCUGCAGUUUUGGGGUGUCACUGUUGAGAACUGAAGGCUAUAAGGAAAAGCAUAUGUUCAGACAGCUCCACUUCUGGUCUCUUAUUAUUGUCCUUUCCUCCACAGCAUCCUCUUUAACUCUAUGCCAAAUGUUCUGUCAGUUCAACAACAGACAACGAAGCUGUGAAGGAAACAGGAAGUAUACCUUCUCCCAAAACUUCCCACUUAACAAACCCUGGCUGUGCCUCCCACUGUUGCCUUUGAUCCUGAAAAGUCUGAUCCAGUGGCUUGACUUUGCAGGCAAGUCUACAAGAGUGUCGUGAAGAAUGGUCCUCUUUGUUCCCUUCCUCUUCUUCCUCAUGGAAAUGGACCAACAACACAUGACAGAAACUCUUGAAUGAGUGUAACGCACCCCAUUGAUCAGAGGGGCUCACACCUGCUUCCAAGAAGAUAGUGUGGCUCACCCACAACCCCAACAUUCUCUUCUAGGCUGAGAAUCCAUUUGAUAUCGGUCUCUGUUUUAUCAAGGAAGAGAAGGUAGAGUGAUGGAGAAUUGUUUGGAGCUAUUGAAAAUGUGGGACUUCUGGUUUUCAGUGAAUACAACCAAACUUUGCUGUCACUCAGGAUCCUUUAAUUCCUCUGUGCCCUAAACUUUUAUCUUUCUCUAAAAGCUAGCUAUACCCAACUUACUUCUGAAAGUCCAUGCCUCAUUUUCCAGGGUGUCAGUUCCAUCCAGUGUUCUUGAAAUUCAGGGCACUUCUAUUGGGAACUUGCUUGUAAAUAUUUUACAGUAUUUUUCAUCACAAACUUCUAAAUUUCUGUCUCUGAGAACUCCAAACCUAGGAGCCACACAUUAACAUCUUAAAAUAAGGAAAUCAGAAAGAACCGCACCAAAUGUUUGCAGGGAGAAGUAUGUUAUUAAAAUGUACCUUGUGCUUUGCAUAUUUCUGCAGAAAAUAAGGAACGGACUUAGGGCAUUACCUUGAAAAAAAAUGGAGGAAAGCCCAUAAGGUUUCUAAUGAGCUAAAUGUGAAAAAGUGAAAUGAAUUCUGUAACUUACAGUCUAAUUAAAAGUAUUACGGAUUAAUUGAUGUUCUCCUAAUUAAACAAAUUGUCAUGUUUUCCUUUUAGUGGGCAAUAAAUAAUACGUAAAUUAUUAUUUUA